This 1447-nucleotide long non-coding RNA is filed under the name Chrysolophus pictus (golden pheasant). Its description in RNAcentral is "lncRNA (ENSCPIG00010014193.1)". Lineage: Eukaryota; Metazoa; Chordata; Aves; Galliformes; Phasianidae. The record is from RNAcentral.
UGCACCAGCUUCACGAGGAAUCCAAAGACAGCAAACUGCCACCGAGCCGCCUUCAGUUUUGGAGCUGCCAAAGCUGAGCCCCACGCUUCCCGGGAUCCCUUUGUAAGAGGGAAGGCACUCUCUGCAGUAAACUGCACCAGGACCUGGAAAGGAAGACAGCCAGGGAACACCGGGAUCCCCAGUUACCACCAGGAAGUGCUGCUUUGCUGCACAAACAACACUCCCCCUGCUUCUUGCUCCAUCAGCCCCUUUCCUCCAGAGAUCCUCUGCUACAUGCUAUCAAGCCAGAAACCAAAGCCGGAUGCUGCAAAACGCCUCAAUCCCGAGGGAGGACUGAGCUUCCUUCACCUGGCAACAAAAAACAAGACAAGAUCAAGUGAAAUAAAGUAUCACUCUCAUUUCAGCUGCCCUCUGUACUGCUUCUUAACCCCAGCACUGCCAGGAUGAGCAGAAGGGCAAACGCUGUGCCCCGUCCUCUCAGCCCCAAUGCAGCAAGGGCUACAAAGAAAACAAAAUCCACCCACACAGCCUAGGAGGCAGGGAGUGACACAGGCAAACCUGCACACGAGGUACUUCCGCUCUCCGGCUGCAGACAUGCACAAAACCCACCUCCAUCCGUAAGGCCUCUUACAGCUUCAAACCACCCUGGACCUGUAGAAAGAUUAAUAGAAUUCAUUGUGUUAGGGGUCACGUAGCCCAGUGCCCUUGCCGCAAACAGGGACACCUACAUUUAAAUCAGGAUGCUUACAAUCCCAUCCAGAAUGGCCGUGCUCCCCUGCAGCAAAAUCCUCAUCAUCAUACAGCCUCCCUUUCAGUACGAAACCAUAUAGUAGAAUACCCUGGGUUGGAGGGGACUCCAAGGAUCAUUUAAUUCCAACGUGCCCAUCUGAUACUAGGGCAGGAUGGACAGAGCCACAAACGCCUCUAGAGAGGGAGGCAUCCACAGCCUGUUCCUGCACCUCACUGCUGAAUAACUUCCCCCAACAUCCAAACUAAUCCUUGAGCUUAAAACUAUUCCCUCUAGUCCUAUCUCUGUCUACCCAGGUAAAAAGUUGAUUCCCCUCCUUCUUGUAAGCCACUUUUGAAUACUGGAAGGCUGCAAUGAGGUCUUCUUGCAGCCUUCUCUUCCCCCAAAGUGGCCCGGCUCCCUCACCCUACCUCCAUAGGAGAGUUGCUCCGGCCCUGCAUUCAUCUUCACAGACAGCUCCGUGUCCUUCUGGUGUUGGGAACCCCAGACCUGGAAACAGAAUGCAAAAAUAGAGAGGAACAAACCCGCCCCCUUUCCAAUUGAGCCCAGGAUACCCCGUUAACCUUCUAAACUGCUCAAAAUCCCCUUGUUCUGUCAAAACAGACCCUGCAGAACAUUCCACCCUCUUUCUUACAGCCCUCCCUUUACUUGCCAAAAAGCUGCUUUCAAUGCUUCUUGGAGCCUUCUCCAGGAGGAACA